AUUGAACGCUGGCGGCAUGCUUUACACAUGCAAGUCGAACGGUAACAGGCCUUCGGGUGCUGACGAGUGGCGAACGGGUGAGUAAUGCAUCGGAACGUACCCAGAGGUGGGGGAUAACGCAGCGAAAGCUGUGCUAAUACCGCAUGUGAUCUGAGGAUGAAAGCGGGGGACCGAGCAGCAAUGUUUGGCCUCGCGCCUUUGGAGCGGCCGAUGUCGGAUUAGCUAGUUGGUGGGGUAAAGGCCUACCAAGGCGACGAUCCGUAGCUGGUCUGAGAGGACGACCAGCCACACUGGGACUGAGACACGGCCCAGAUUCCUACGGGAGGAAGAAGUGGGGAAUUUUGGACCAUGGGCGCAAGCCUGAUCCAGCAAUGCCGAGUGCGGGAAGAAGGCCUUGGGGUUGUAAAACGACUUUGGCAGGAACGAAACGGUGUCCGCUAAUACCGGGCGCUAAUGACGGUACCUGCAGAAUAAGCACCGGCUAACUACGUG
Molecule: ribosomal RNA, 492 nt
Filed under: uncultured bacterium
Lineage: Bacteria
Description: partial 16S ribosomal RNA
Rfam family: Bacterial small subunit ribosomal RNA
Source: RNAcentral